GGCUGGUCCGAAGGUAGUGAGUUAUCACAACUGAUUGCUCACAGUCAGUUACAGAUUGAACUCCUUGUUCUACUCUUUCCCCACUUCUUACUACUGCACUUGACCAGUCUUAA
Unclassified non-coding RNA from Cebus imitator (Panamanian white-faced capuchin), 113 nucleotides. It matches the Rfam family "Y RNA". From Rfam's summary of the family: Y RNAs are components of the Ro ribonucleoprotein particle (Ro RNP), in association with Ro60 and La proteins. The Y RNAs and Ro60 and La proteins are well conserved, but the function of the Ro RNP is not known. Lineage: Eukaryota; Metazoa; Chordata; Mammalia; Primates; Cebidae. The record is from Ensembl.